AAUGAACGCUGGCGGCAUGCCUUACACAUGCAAGUCGAACGGCAGCAUGACCUCGCUUGCUGGUUUGAUGGCGAGUGGCGCACGAGUGAGUAAUGCAUCGGCACGUGCCGUUUAUUGGGGGAUAACGUAGCGAAAGUUACGCUAAUAGCUCAUAUUCUCUGAGGCGGAGAGCAGGGGGCCAUCGUUCCUUGCGCUAGAAUGGCGGCCGCUGUCGGAUUAGCUAGUUGGGGAGGUAAAGGCUCACCAAGGCAACGGUCCGUAGCGGGUCUGAGAGGAGGAGCCGCCACACGGGGACUGAGACACGGCCCAGACUCCUACGGGAGGCAGCAGUGGGGAAUUUUGGACAAAGGGCGCAAGCCUGAUCCAGCCAGGCCGAGUGAGUGAAGAAGGCCUUCGGGUUGGAAAGCUCGUUCGGCUGGGAAGAAAUCGCAUCCUCUAAGACAGGGUGUGGAUGACGGUACCAGCAAAAGAAGCACCGGCUAACUACGUG
This 490-nucleotide ribosomal RNA is filed under the name uncultured bacterium. RNAcentral describes it as "partial 16S ribosomal RNA". It matches the Rfam family "Bacterial small subunit ribosomal RNA", at positions 29 to 507 of the family's 1533-position model. The record is from RNAcentral.